GGGCGCAUAGCUCAGUUGGUUAGNNGAGGUCGAUGGUUCGAGUCCAUUUGCGCCCA
Molecule: transfer RNA, 56 nt
Filed under: Chloroflexota bacterium
Lineage: Bacteria; Bacillati; Chloroflexota
Description: Chloroflexi bacterium (Maroochydoore River metagenome) tRNA-Ser
Rfam family: tRNA
About the family: Transfer RNA (tRNA) molecules are approximately 80 nucleotides in length. Their secondary structure includes four short double-helical elements and three loops (D, anti-codon, and T loops).
Source: RNAcentral